GUGGAUCGUGUGGGUCAUACAGACGGGUACAAACCUAAUUUUCUCUCUAUUCUAAGCUUAAAACAUGAAAGACCUUCAUCUUUGAUGCCUGUGGUCUGAGUUUCAUUGAUCAGCUGGAAACGGAUUUCUAUAAUUUUGUACUAAUAAUUUUCUUGGUUGUUUUGUAUAUUUUUGGUUCAUUACUUUGUGUAACACAUAUAAAUCUCAGGGAGAAUAAAAUAGUGGAGGUUUUUUAUAUACGUGCUCGAUUAGAAUGAUAAUCUUCAGAGUGCCACAUCAAAAUAGAAUUAGAGGUCCAAACGUAAAAGCUAAUUGUAGGGAAAAAGAUAAAAGGAAGCUUGUAUUAAAAUAAAGUGAGGGUGUAUACAACCUCAGCAACUACUCGAACAUAAACUACAAUAUAUACAGGGGAAAAGGACUGCGCACUUGAAAUCCAUCAUUUAUAGUCGUGGGUUGAGAAAUUGUAACUUUUAUCCUACAAAUAGAGAAUAAAAGGAGUUUAACUUAGUUGUGUUCCAUGAUACUACAACACAUCUCCAGGCAAAAUAUGUAUUUCUAAAUCUGAACAGGCAUCAAAACACCCAAACGUAGAGUUAUAUGGAAAGGUUGAAUAGGAAUUAAUCAUUGAAGGAAAUAAAUGAGAGAGUGGGUUAGAGAGAGGCAGGCUUUUGGACAAAUAUAAUAUCCAGUGCAACCAUUGGUGCACAUUGAGAUAUGGGAUUGGGGUUGCUUUUCUUUAGGACUUUUACACAUAAAAGUAUGCUGUCACACAGAAAAAAGGGACAAGGGUUGAGGAACACCGUAUGAUAGUUUUCGUCCCUUAAACAAUAGGUCGAUCAUUUCAUUAUGAAUGUUCCAGUAAAGUCACCAAAAUGAAAGAAAUUUGAAAGAACAAAAAGAGGUUCGCCCCAAAACUUGAUCCAUUAUGCACAUUAUUUACUUGUUCUUAUAACAGAAAAACUAUGUUAUAUAAAUUUAUAUUACUACUUCUUAUUGAACUUGGAGAAUAUCUACGAGAGAUUGACACUAUCCUACAUGGCAGAGUUAAUGUAGAGGUCUUUCAAGUCACUCUUAAUCUCUUGGUUUGUAUUCUCCAAGUCGAAAUGAGUUUGAAUAACUAUCAAGAAUGAAUGAAUCAUGAUGCAUUUAAUAAUCGCAGUAAAAUUCAAUUGAGUGAGGAGAUGGAGAACAAUCUCCUCAAACUCAGUAGGCUCCACAUCCUAAUCCUUGGGAAUUUUUCGUAGUGCAGUUAACAUCUUGAAAAAUCUGAUUUUGAAACAAAGGUUUAAUCCCAAAAAUUAACUUGUCUUAUCCAGACAAUACCACCAAGCAAUUUAUGAAAAUUUAUUCCAGCCUCAACAAAAAACUAAAUUAAUUUCCAACGUUUUUCGGACGUGCUUGUAUCCAACUUUCAAAAAUUUCACCAUGUAAACAAAGGUGUUCUUCCCCAAUGAUAGAUGCCACAUCAUACAAAAGCUUCAAACUUCAAAAUUGUGGCUUCUUGUGAAAUAAGUACAUUUGAAUACUAUUUUGGACAGAUAAUAAUCAUAUUAUGUAUUUGUAAAGCAUAUUCUUAUUUGUAUAAAUACAUUCAACACAAUUAGUAUUAAUUAUUCAAUUCUGUCGUAGAUUACACAGGUUGAUCUACUAAACUUCUCAAUAAUCUGAGAAAUGCAAAGCAACAAUACUAACUAAGACAUUUCUGCCAUAUAUAACAUUCAUAAUCAAUCUAUGAUGCAAGCAAAUGAGAGAUAAAAACAAAGACAGGCAAAUAAAUGGACAGAAAUGGCAAUGAUAUCAUG
RNAcentral lists this long non-coding RNA (1802 nucleotides) under Olea europaea subsp. europaea. Lineage: Eukaryota; Viridiplantae; Streptophyta; Magnoliopsida; Lamiales; Oleaceae. The record is from RNAcentral.